This is a small nuclear RNA of Cervus hanglu yarkandensis (Yarkand deer), 107 nucleotides long. The record is from Ensembl. Lineage: Eukaryota; Metazoa; Chordata; Mammalia; Artiodactyla; Cervidae.
GUGCUCACUUUGGUGGCAUAUAUACUAAAAUUGAAAUAAUGCAGAGAAGAUUAGCAUGGCCCCUGCACAAGGAUGACAUGCAAACUUGUAAAGCAUUCUGUAGUUUU